RNAcentral lists this ribosomal RNA (253 nucleotides) under uncultured bacterium. RNAcentral describes it as "partial 16S ribosomal RNA". It matches the Rfam family "Bacterial small subunit ribosomal RNA", at positions 524 to 776 of the family's 1533-position model. The record is from RNAcentral.
UACGGGGGGGGCAAGCGUUGUUCGGAAUUACUGGGCGUAAAGGGCUCGUAGGUGGCCAACUAAGUCAGACGUGAAAUCCCUCGGCUUAACCGGGGAACUGCGUCUGAUACUGGAUGGCUUGAGUUUGGGAGAGGGACGCGGAAUUCCAGGUGUAGCGGUGAAAUGCGUAGAUAUCUGGAGGAACACCGGUGGCGAAGGCGGGUUGCUGGGCUGACACUGACGCUGAGGCGCGAAAGCUAGGGGAGCGAACGGG